GAGUCUUUGAAUGCAAGUUGCGCCCGACGCCAUUCGGCCGAGGGCACGCCUGCCUGGGUGUCACG
This 65-nucleotide ribosomal RNA is filed under the name Fagus orientalis. RNAcentral's name for it is "Fagus sylvatica subsp. orientalis partial 5.8S ribosomal RNA". Lineage: Eukaryota; Viridiplantae; Streptophyta; Magnoliopsida; Fagales; Fagaceae. The record is from RNAcentral.